UAAUUCUCUGUCCCUUCAAGGUGUUCUCCC
Molecule: non-coding RNA, 30 nt
Filed under: Mus musculus (house mouse)
Lineage: Eukaryota; Metazoa; Chordata; Mammalia; Rodentia; Muridae
Source: RNAcentral